Molecule: ribosomal RNA, 144 nt
Filed under: uncultured eukaryote
Lineage: Eukaryota
Description: partial 18S ribosomal RNA
Rfam family: Eukaryotic small subunit ribosomal RNA
Source: RNAcentral
UGGUGGAGUGAUUUGUCUGGUUAAUUCCGUUAACGAACGAGACCUCGACCUGCUAAAUAGUUUGGCGAAUUCCCUGUGGAUUCGCACAUAACUUCUUAGAGGGACGUUCAUUCUACAAGAUGAAGGAAGAUGGCGGCAAUAACA